UGGGGAAUAUUGCACAAUGGGGGAAACCCUGAUGCAGCGACGCCGCGUGAACGAAGAAGGUAUUCGUAUCGUAAAGUUCUGUCCUAUGGGAAGAUAAUGACAGUACCAUAGAAGAAAGCUCCGGCUAAAUACGUGCCAGCACCCGCGGUACUACGUAUGGAGCGAGCGUUGUCCGGAAUUAUUGGGCGUAAAGGGUACGCAGGCGGUUUAAUAAGUCGAAUGUUAAAGAUCGGGGCUCAACCCCGCCAAGCAUUGGAAACUGAUUAACUUGAGUGGUGGAGAGGAAAGUGGAAUUCCUAGUGUAGUGGUGAAAUACGUAGAUAGUAGGAAGAAUACCAGUAGCGAAGGCGACUUUCUGGACACAAACUGACGCUGAGGUACGAAAGCGUGGGGGGCAAGCAGG
Molecule: ribosomal RNA, 403 nt
Filed under: bacterium
Lineage: Bacteria
Description: partial 16S ribosomal RNA
Rfam family: Bacterial small subunit ribosomal RNA
Source: RNAcentral